GGGGAAUUUUGGACAAUGGGCGAAAGCCUGAUCCAGCAAUGCCGCGUGUGUGAAGAAGGCCUUCGGGUUGUAAAGCACUUCUGUCCGGAAAGAAAUCCUCUGGGUUAAUACCUCGGGGGGAUGACGGUACCGGAAGAAUAAGCACCGGCUAACUACGUGCCAGCAGCCGCGGUAAUACGUAGGGUGCAAGCGUUAAUCGGAAUUACUGGGCGUAAAGCGUGCGCAGGCGGUUUUGUAAGACGGAUGUGAAAUCCCCGGGCUUAACCUGGGAACUGCAUUCGUGACUGCAAGGCUAGAGUAUGGCAGAGGGGGGUAGAAUUCCACGUGUAGCAGUGAAAUGCGUAGAGAUGUGGAGGAAUACCGAUGGCGAAGGCAGCCCCCUGGGCCAAUACUGACGCUCAUGCACGAAAGCGUGGGGAGCAAACA
RNAcentral lists this ribosomal RNA (426 nucleotides) under uncultured bacterium. RNAcentral describes it as "bacterial SSU rRNA". It matches the Rfam family "Bacterial small subunit ribosomal RNA", at positions 356 to 774 of the family's 1533-position model. The record is from RNAcentral.